This 450-nucleotide ribosomal RNA is filed under the name uncultured bacterium. RNAcentral's name for it is "partial 16S ribosomal RNA". It matches the Rfam family "Bacterial small subunit ribosomal RNA", at positions 354 to 796 of the family's 1533-position model. The record is from RNAcentral.
GUGGGGAAUAUUGGACAAUGGGCGAAAGCCUGAUCCAGCCAUGCCGCGUGUGUGAAGAAGGUCUUCGGAUUGUAAAGCACUUUAAGUUGGGAGGAAGGGCAGUAAGUUAAUACCUUGCUGUUUUGACGUUACCGACAGAAUAAGCACCGGCUAACUUCGUGCCAGCAGCCGCGGUAAUACGAAGGGUGCAAGCGUUAAUCGGUAUUACUGGGCGUAAAGCGCGGGUAGGUGGUUUUGUAAGUUGGAGGUGAAAUCCCCGGGCUCAACCUGGGAACUACCUCCAAAACUGCAUGACUAGAGUACGGUAGAGGUUAGUGGAAUUUCCUGUGUAGCGGUGAAAUGCGUAGAUAUAGGAAGGAACACCAGUGGCGAAGGCGACUACCUGGACUGAUACUGACACUGAGGUGCGAAAGCGUGGGGAGCAAACAGGAUUAGAUACCCUAGUAGUCC